Non-coding RNA from Struthio camelus australis, 694 nucleotides. NCBI's taxonomy places the organism in Eukaryota, Metazoa, Chordata, Aves, Struthioniformes, Struthionidae. The record is from RefSeq and is a predicted model, not a curated record.
AGGCCACAUGCACGGCCACCUCGAAUGGCACGGGGCGCAGCGUCAGCGCCGGCGUCCGCAAGCCAGAAGAAUGCCUUUUCUGGCCGCUGGCGGUCGGGCUGCCCUGCGGCUGCCUCCUCCUCUGCAUCCUGCUGGUGCUCCUGGUCUGCAGGAAGCGUCUCACCGGAGCUGAGAAAGCCAAGAAAACCAGGACGCGCAUAGCCGUGAGACACGUCCAAGAGACCGAGUAUGUGGCUGUGAAGCACCACGCCUGAAAGCCCUUCUGCCCUGCCCGCUCUGACAAAAAUUGCCCCGAGUUGUGGUUUCCGAGCAAGAAAAACACGAGCGAGAGAAAGGGAAACUGCAAGACUCUGCUCCGAUAUAACCUGGGGGUGGGGGGGAGACAGAGGGGGCACAAAUCCUUUUCAUAUACCGUCCUUUUCUUUUCUUGGCCAACAAGAACCUCCUGCAAAUUUGCACCAAGAAUUCCUUGCAAAUUUGCACGAGCCUCGCCGCAGCAUUCAAAGCCGAGAGGAUUUAAGUUAUUUUUCAAUAUUCACACGGCGGAUUGGAGCGUAUAUACCCGGCUGCAAAGCGGGCAGCCCUAUAAUUUCCCAGUGUACAGCUAAUUAUCCAUGGGUAGUUCCUAGUCUGUCUGGGAGUGCUUUUUGUAGAAAUUACAUUCAUCUUUUAUAAUCUCUAGAGCUACUUACUG